ACGUAGGGUGCGAGCGUUAAUCGGAAUUACUGGGCGUAAAGCGCGCGCAGGCGGAUUGUUAAGCAAGACGUGUAAUCCCCGGGCUUAACCUGGGAAUGGCGCUUGUGACUGGCGGGCUGGAGGACGGCAGAGGGGGGUGGAAUUCCACGUGUAGCAGUGGAAUGCGUAGAUAUGUGGAGGAACACCGAUGGCGAAGGCAGCCCCCUGGGCCGAUUCUGACGCUCAUGCACGAAAGCGUGGGGAGCAAACAG
Molecule: ribosomal RNA, 251 nt
Filed under: uncultured prokaryote
Description: partial 16S ribosomal RNA
Rfam family: Bacterial small subunit ribosomal RNA
Source: RNAcentral